CGGGGCGCAGCAGGUCCCCAGAGCAGGGGCGGGGGUGACUCUUGGGAGGAGGGGAGGGAGCCGGGCCGCCACGUCGCCGGCCCUGCGCAGGCUGCACGCUCCUCUCCGCCCAGUCCUCCCGGGCCUCCCCAUAGAAGAAUGUCUUUCCCUCAUCUACAGGGGAGAGUCGAAACUACUCCGCACGACCUCUGCCUCGCUCUCAUCUUUGCUCCCACCUCCCCCGGCCUGAGCCACGCCGAAGCACUUGUGGUCCUCUGAGUGCACAGGCUCACGUCUGCCUCUGUGGGCGUCAGGUGUCGGAUCCCACUCCCUCAGCUCCUAUGGACCCUUCCGGGCUCAGCUCCUUUCAAGGAUGCCUUCCUGGAUCCCACAGGCAAAAUGCAGAAACUGAGAAGAAAAGUGAUGGAAUGGCUUCCCUCACCUAAUAAGAAGCCACGGAGCUAAGAUUCAAAUGUGUGUUCCUGUCCAGAUGAGCCAUCAAACCUGGGCUUCUUUGCCUCCAGUGCUGGAGAAGUACAAGGCAUAUAACGGGUGCCAGUAAAUGUGACCCUGGACUAUAAGCUCCCUGAGGGCAAGGCAUUUGGACAACUUUAUUCACUACUGAGUUCUCACACUGAAAGCGGUGCCUUGUGCAGAGGAGGCAGCCAGUAAUCAUUUUCAGACUAAAUAAAUGGAUUUUGCAUUCAUGGCAGGGUUGCCAGCUCUGCCAUUUACUAGCUGUGACCGCAGGCAAGUUACUGAGCUGGAUCGUGUUUCCACAGUUUUCUCCUCUGUAUAUUGCUGUCAGUGGUGAUUCCCUCCCAAUAACUGCUCCAUUACCUACCUUCCUCCAGCUUUAUGAACCCUCUGUCCCAGGCUUACUUGUUUGUACUCUACACUACUUAAAACAGAACAAAAUCCAAAACAUACAACUACAACAACAAAUGGACCUGUGCUUUCUAGAGCCCCAUAAGACAUUGUCCUUAGUGAUGCAAAUAUAUGCCAAGAUUAAUGUGUUCUCUUCAUCAGAGGGCUUUGCACUUCAGCAAGUGCCUUCUGGAAACAUGGUAAUGUAAUCCAUGCAUAAUUGCCUACUAGUAGAAUUAUAGCCAAACUAUAGGCAGUUCAUACCACUUGAGAAUAAAACUGUAUUACCUUGGCUCAGUGGAAACAAGAUGUGAUCGACUAGUGAUAGCUGCAUAGCGGUGCAAGGGGUUGUGGAGGCUUAAUUGCCAUCUUGGGCUAAACUGAUCUUCCUAUAUUUUACAGCUGGGGAAACUGAGGCUCCGGCAAGGAAAAAUGACUUGUUUAAAAUCAAAUAGCUAAUAGGUAUCAGAAGCAGCAUUCAAUUCCUGGUCGGUCUCAUUCAGAGUCCAGUGCCCUUGCCCUAGUUUUCUGACCUUUUCUUGGACCUUUUUGCAGCUUCAAGACAAAGCUUCUCCCCCUCCCCCACCACCCCAAAAAAAGAAAAGAAAAGAAAAAGAAAAGGGGAAGAGGACAUCUAUGGAGCAUCUUCCCUGGGCUGGGCACUCUCUGUGAGACACUUUACAAACAAAAGACACUUCCCGUUGAUCCUCAUUAUAGCCUUAUGAGGUGGGCAACAUUCCCCCCAUUUUACAGAUGAGGAAACAGAGUCUCAGCCCCAUGAUGUAAUUCACCUAAGACCCUAGAGCUGGAGAGAGAAGUCUGUAUCCUCCUCCCCACCCCCGCUGAGGAUUUGAACCCAUACUCCAGGGCUAAAUAGUCUU
Physeter macrocephalus (sperm whale) is the source of this 1727-nucleotide long non-coding RNA. RefSeq lists it as uncharacterized. The record is from RefSeq and is a predicted model, not a curated record. Lineage: Eukaryota; Metazoa; Chordata; Mammalia; Artiodactyla; Physeteridae. The transcript has 3 exons.